GACGCUGAAGGGGCGCUGAGCAGAGAGGGGGAGAAUUUUCUUGUUCUCCCCCUCUCUGCUCAGCGCCCCUUCAGUGA
RNAcentral lists this microRNA precursor (77 nucleotides) under Podarcis lilfordi (Lilford's wall lizard). The record is from RNAcentral. Lineage: Eukaryota; Metazoa; Chordata; Lepidosauria; Squamata; Lacertidae.